Molecule: ribosomal RNA, 423 nt
Filed under: uncultured bacterium
Lineage: Bacteria
Description: bacterial SSU rRNA
Rfam family: Bacterial small subunit ribosomal RNA
Source: RNAcentral
UAAGGAAUAUUGGACAAUGGGGGCAACCCUGAUCCAGCCAUGCCGCGUGAAGGAUGAAGGCGCUCUGCGUUGUAAACUUCUUUUAUACGGGAAUAACACACGCUACGUGUAGCGUGCUGAAUGUACUGUAAGAAUAAGCAUCGGCUAACUUCGUGCCAGCAGCCGCGGUAAUACGAAGGAUGCAAGCGUUAUCCGGAUUUAUUGGGUUUAAAGGGUGCGUAGGCGGCUUACUAAGUCAGUGGUGAAAGCCCGGAGCUUAACUCCGGAAUUGCCAUUGAUACUGAUGAGCUUGAGUACACUUGAGGUAGGCGGAAUGUGUCAUGUAGCGGUGAAAUGCUUAGAUAUGACACAGAACACCGAUUGCGAAGGCAGCUUACUAAAGUGUAACUGACGCUGAGGCACGAAAGCGUGGGGAUCAAACAG